UUUAAUUUCCUAUAAUCUAUUCGCCAGUGAGGUUUUCCGAAAGAAUCUGACUUCUUUGGAACUAUCCAUACGAGAGAAUUAUACGGCGAUGCUGAGGGUUGAAUAAUAUUGUCGCUGAGCAAGGUAUCUACCUGUUUCUGUAUUUCGGGUUUAUGAAUCAAUGGAAAACGAUACUGUUUGGUAUUAAUGGGUAUUUCAUCAGUAGUUACUAUAGAGUGCUGACUGGUGUUAGAACAACCUAAUCUAUCUGCGGAAAGGUGAAAUUGGGACUGAAAUUAGGACCUUACUGCGUGGAGGAAGAUCGAAUGAUGUAAAUGCUGAAGAAGACUGUACCUUUUUUCCAAUUUCAAGACUAUUCGGAAGCUUGUCUCUGAAUACCACUGUAGCAUCCUGUUUCUGGAGAAAAGAAACCCCAACCAUUCCAGUUUGCUUUAUUUAAAAAUCAUUAUCAACGACUUGGAAGUUAAUGGGGAUUUGAUUAAUAGAGAUAAUAACCUCACCACAAGUCUGAAUCAUUCCCGGACAGAUUCCAUGAUCCAGUGUCUACAAGGAAAUUGGCAUAACCAUCGCAGAAAAAUCCAUGUUCCAGUCAAAUUACUAAUGAACUAGGCUCUGAGAAACUUGAACAGUGGGCGAUACAAUGGUAUCUACGCGCGCAAUUAAGGGUUUGCCCUGCGAUGCGCUUGUUCGAGGGCCCCUGUUGAAGUUUAAAUCCUGUGAAGACUCUGCGGGGGAAAAUCCGGAUGUCCUGAAUUUAGAAGGCGAGUUUUUACUAAAACACCGUUCCUCCGUAUGCCCGCUUUUCCUACAAAAUCCACAUUUAAGCGUUCUAUGAACAUUUAGCUCUGAAUACGGUUUCUUUUGACUCUUGCAAUGAUUACGCAUGUGUCCCAAUCGAUUGCAAUCGAAACACCUGCGAGCCAAAGUAUCUACUACACACACCUUUGAAUUAUUAGCAAAUGAGCUUGAAUUUACGGCAACUUUUGAAACUCGAAUUCUCUCGCCAAUUUUGAUGCAGAAUUUAUCAUGGACUCCAAACUAUCUCCCUGCUCUCUAAUCAUUAGCAUUCUGAUAUUAACAUUAAACAAACCCCUCUUGAAUCCCGAAAUCGCAGAUCUCUUAAGGAGAACCCUGACCCCCUCAGAUUGCUGAAAAUCAAAGUUUCCCAUUACCGCCGUGAGUCCCCUAUCCAAAAUUUCGUUAACCCGUGCUCCAUAACCCUCGACACUCUCCCCAUUACCUUGAUAAGCAUUUUUAACUCAUCGUAAAUUCGAUCUAUAUCAAAAGACUGCACAAAAAUUGAUUUAAUUAUAUUUAUUAGUUCCUCUAAAGUGUUCAACUCGUAGCUGCCUGCAAUCAACUGGUCCACAUGCCCACAUAUUUUGUUCCGUAUUAGAGCUAGUAAAUUUAUCCUAUCCCCAGCCCUAACUCUGGAAUUCGCGAGGUUACAUUGUCUGAUAAAUUUUGUUAAAGAACUAGCAUUACCAUCAAAAGUAUACGGAUAUACAUAGGGUCUAGAUCAGCGGCCAUUUUUAACGGCAUAAACGCAAUUUCCGAAACACUCGAAGGUAUUUCAAUAUUUUCAGUAGUAGACGUGUUUGAAGAUGAAUAUUCACUAUUUGUACCUGAAGAAAUAUUCUCACGCAAAGCAACUUGUAACGGCACUUCACCCGUUUCAUUGCACUGUUCUACAAUAGAAAUCUGAUUAUUCGCGGAAAACUGUACUCCCAAAUCCUCAGUCUCAAAAGAACCACUACCACUCAAGGCUCCUCCCUUUUGCCUUUUUUUGAACUUUCUAAAUCCCGUAAUGUACGGAGGCAUGUUUUUUUUUUUACAACAAAAUCUGAAAAAUAUUAUAUAUUUAUAUGUAUAAGCUUUGCGAGCGGUAAAGAGCGAAUGUAUAUAUAUGUACGCAGCAAUCAAUAAUUCACCGAUCCUUCUCCUGAAUCCUCGUCCUGCGAUCCUUCUCCUGUAUCCUCGUCCAGUUAUCCUUUUCCUGAGUCCUCGUCCUGCGAUGAUCGUCCCUCGAUCUGGUUCAGCAGGAAGACCCGUGGGCAAGGUGCAUGUGAUCAACGAUUAUUAACGACGACUUGCACGGUCGUCGAAAUCAUCUUUUCCGGCAUUCGCCCUUGCUCCUGGGGAAACCGUGCGGAAAACCCAAGAGGGAUAAGAUGCACUGAUUCUAAUGCCCCGAGUUAAUAAAAUUAUUUAAUGUUGGAAAGAUCCCACCGCUGUCACCAAUUUUGUUGCGAGUCCGUGCGGUUUUAUUUUUAAGGACUUAGGGUUUUUCUGGCGUUCACGCCGCACGUGACAAGAUUAUUAGAACUGCAUGCGACUUAGCCAGGAAUAAGUUAAUUUAAGAUAAAUUAAGAAAUGUAAUAUGAACUUUAUUAUAACUGUUUAAAUAUAACUAA
Long non-coding RNA from Hylaeus volcanicus, 2414 nucleotides. RefSeq lists it as uncharacterized. The transcript is spliced from 3 exons. NCBI's taxonomy places the organism in Eukaryota, Metazoa, Arthropoda, Insecta, Hymenoptera, Colletidae. The record is from RefSeq and is a predicted model, not a curated record.